CGAGUUUCCUGUAUAAUUUGUGUUUUCAAGUAGACAUUUUUAAAAGAUUAUCUGGUCUCACUUGCGUUUCAAAAACUGGCUGUUAGACUGGUUUCAAACGGUGGUACAGAAGAAACGAAACGGAGAGCCACUACAUUUAGUAAAAAAAAACUCGCUAGCGGAACUAAGCUGGAUUGCCUGGAGGCGGAUAACGCAGGGGAAAGGACAAGUGCUCGCCGAAAGAAGCUAACGCCGAAACGGGUAAUCCUUUGAGCACUCUCCAGGAAAAGCUAUAAAACUCCCUAUUUUCUCUGAACAUUAUGAAGAAAAGACUUGAGUCGGAUGCGUGGAGAUAAUUAGAGAGUUCGGACGAAAACGAAAGUUAAACGGCGUGUUAGAAAUAGCGAUCCCUGUCUCUCCCUGCAAAAACGUAUUUUGAUAGCAAGACUUUAUUCAGUCAGUGUAGAGUUUUGCCGAUUUUUGAGAAGUUGUUUGCACUUGGUUUGUUAACAAAAGCCCUUUUUUGAGGAAAGUGCUUUAAACCUUUGUAUGCAGGUGAAGCAUUAACUUUGUAAGAUUGCUGAUAAAGAUUAACAGAGAUAUGGCGAGGAUGCAGUGGAGCAGGGCAGAUCACGCAAGCUAACAGAGAAGGCAUUAGAAGAUCGAUUGCAAAGGUGAGGAGACGAACAUUAGGAAAUCUGCCAGGAUUAUGCAAGAGCUUGAGUUUGAAGCAGCUAAAAUUAAAGCUGAAAAGGAAAGAAUGGAGCUGAAGACUGCGUUAGCCGAAAGCCAAGCAAAAUUAAAAGUGCUUAAAGAAUAUGAAAGAUCUGAAGAUUGUUUUAGUAGUUAUGUGUCAGUGUCUCUAAGCGGGAACGUGAAGAAGCAUAGAAUUAGCAUGAUGCUACCACAACAAGCAAAUGUGAAUGUUCACGUACGACCACAAGCGCAGCACUCUCAAAUACCACAACCACAUCUGCCACAACCAGUGUCCAAUCGCAGGUAUGAUGCUCAAGUUACUGUAGAUGAUGACUUCUUAACAGUCAUGCAAAGGCAGAAUGUAAUUACCAAGCUAUUUCUAAGGCAACAGCAGCCAUCCCUGCUACCAACAAAGGACAUUCCUGUGUUCAAGGGUGAUGCACUACAAUACAAAACCUUCAUGAUGGUGUUUGAGCAUGCAAUUGAGCAGAAGACCAACAAUGAUCGAGAUAAAUUGUACUUUUCGGAACAAUUUACAGCUGGUGAACCUCAAGAGCUUGUUCGCAGCUGUGCCUAUAUGACAUCUAGCAAGGGCUAUCAUGAAGCAAAGCAGGUACUUCAUAAGUACUGUGGGGAUGAGCUACAGAUUGGCAGCGUGUACAUUGUCAAAGCACUCAAAUGGCUUCAAGUGAAGUCAGAUGAUAGAAAAGCAUGAAAUGCUUAUGCAAUGUUUUUGAUCGGAUGUCGCAACUCCAUGGAGGAUAUCGAAUUUGUAGAAGAGAUGGAUAAUCCCACAAACCUACGGACAGUGAUAUCAAAACUGCCCUAAAAAAUGAGACAACGUUGGCAUGCUGAAGCUUUCGAGCUCAAAGAAUGAAGAAGUGGGAGAGCAAGAUUUGCAGAUUUGGUGAAUUUCAUAGACCGCCAAGCUAAGAUAGCUAUGGAUCCCCUCUUUGGUAAUAUCUCAGAUGGCUGCCCAACCACAAGUUGAAAUAGUGACCAAAAGGAAAGGCAUCCAGGAAAGAAAGAGGUCCGUGGAAGCAGUUUCAUAACUAAUGCUUAUGCCGAAAGCAAAAGGCCUCAAGAAACUCAUGUUAAGCCAGCAAACUCAGGUAAAACAGUCAGUGCCUUUGAAAAGCCAUAUUUGUACUACCAGCAGUUUCAUACUCUUGCUUUGUGCAGUAAAAUCAAAGGCCAGCCCCAUAAAGAGCAGAUGGAGUUUUUAAAAUCAAAGGGCCUAUGUUUUGGAUGUUUGGGUCUAGGCCAUCUCAGCAAAUUCUGCAGACGAAGAAUUGAAUGUAAAGAAUGUGCAUUAAAGCACUCAGACAUUUCUACACAAAGUAAAAGAUGAAAAUUCUGUCUUACCUGAAAAUAAAAAUGGUGCUCAAUGUAAUGGAGUGUCAUGUUCUCGAGUUCCUAUCACUCAGGAAUCCUGUGGCCUUACAGGGGCCGGAGAAGCUGAAUGUGUGUUGUCAAUAGUACCAGUAAAGGUCAAGUCAAAGAAAAGUAACAAGUAUGUUGAAACGUACACCUUUCUGGACCCGGGAACCACAGCAACUAUCUGCACAGAAGACCUGCAAAUGAAAUUGAAUGUGAAGGGAAAACCAACAUGAAUUCUUCUUAGCACUAUGGGUCAAGAUAAACCAGGAGAAUAGACGCUCAUGAACAGUUUAGUGAUAUCAGACCAAGAAUGUCUGUGGGCUGGAAGACACCAAGUUCAUUGAGUUACCCAAGGUGUUCACGCAUAGCAGUAUACCUGUUCAUACUGGUAACGUCCCCCAAACUGUCAGAUAUCCAGAAGUAGCCUUAUCUUCAUGAAGUGAGCGUUCCAGAGAUAGAAGCUGAGGUAGGCCUACUUAUUGGAGCUAACUGUUCAAGAGCGUUAGAACCAUGGUGCAUAAUCAAUGGUCGAAAUGGAGGUCCUUAUGCAGUUAACAGCCAUUGGAUGGGUUGUGAAUGGACCCAUAAGGAAAGAUCUGAAUGACACAUAUAAUGAACCGCCUCAUUUCUCAGUAAGCAGAAUCUGUGAUGGAAAUUGAGAAGCUACUGGUCCAACAGUACAACACUGAUUUUCCAGAGCGUAAUUUUGAUGAUAAGAAGACAAACUGUUUUUGCAGUCUGUGGAUAAAACGAUGGUUUUGGAGAACGGAGAAUGCUCAGGAAUGAGAAGCUCCAAAUGCCUAAUAACGGUUGUGUGGCAGAACAGCAUAUAGUAUGUUUGCUUAGGAAGUUUAAGAAGAAUCUUGAAUUCUUUGAAGAUUACAAGAGUUUCAUGGAGACCAUCAUUGGCAAUGGCUAUGCUGUCGAGGUUCCGGCACAUCAGCUGAACUAGAGGUCGACCGAUAUAUCGGCCGGCCGAUAUAUCGGGCCGAUAUUUAGCAUUUUUUAAUGUAUCGGCAUCGGCCGCUAUACGAGUGCACUACGCCGAUUUUCAGACAGGCACGUCUGCGGGCAGCCCAGUGUUAUUGUUGCUGUGGAACACGUGACCCAUGCUGCCUUGUGCAGGACCACAGCCAGAAGUUUUGGAAGAGUCCUGGGAUAAAACGUAAUUGCUGUCUGAUGGCUGAACAAAAAUCUAAUCCUGUAUGGCAGCAUUUCACAAAGCCAACACCAGGAAAAGCCAGGUGCAAUAUCUGCAGCAGACUGGUGAGCUUGGGAGCUGAAGAAUGAGUUUGCUGCUAAAGAGAUUCUGAUGCUGCUAUCUUUAUUGUUUAUAAGUUUAAGUUGUUUAUAAGUUGUAUUGUGUUUUUGUUAUUUAAGUUUAUAUUUAAAUUUACACAAGUCAGUAUUCAAUAAAUGCUAAGUUGAGA
Long non-coding RNA from Paramormyrops kingsleyae, 3485 nucleotides. RefSeq lists it as uncharacterized. Lineage: Eukaryota; Metazoa; Chordata; Actinopteri; Osteoglossiformes; Mormyridae. The record is from RefSeq and is a predicted model, not a curated record.